This 394-nucleotide ribosomal RNA is filed under the name uncultured bacterium. Its description in RNAcentral is "bacterial SSU rRNA". It matches the Rfam family "Bacterial small subunit ribosomal RNA", at positions 364 to 774 of the family's 1533-position model. The record is from RNAcentral.
UUGCAAAAUGGGCGAAAGCCCGAUGCAGCAACGCCGCGUGGGCGAUGAAGGCCUUCGGGUCGUAAAGCCCUUUUUGAGGGGAUGAGGAAGGACAGUACCCUCAGAAUAAGCCUCGGCUAACUACGUGCCAGCAGCCGCGGUAAAACGUAGGAGGCGAGCGUUAUCCGGAUUUACUGGGCGGAAAGCGCGUGCAGGCGGAUUGGAGAGUUGGAUGUGAAAGCUCCCGGCUUAACUGGGAGAGGUCGUUCAAUACUUCCAGACGUGAGUGCAGUAGAGGGAAGUGGAAUUCCGGGUGUAGUGGUGAAAUGCGUAGAUAUCCGGAGGAACACCAGUGGCGAAAGCGGCUUCCUGGACUGUAACUGACGCUCAGACGCGAAAGCUAGGGUAGCAAACG